This 72-nucleotide transfer RNA is filed under the name Mesocricetus auratus (golden hamster). It matches the Rfam family "tRNA". Rfam says of the family: Transfer RNA (tRNA) molecules are approximately 80 nucleotides in length. Their secondary structure includes four short double-helical elements and three loops (D, anti-codon, and T loops). Further hydrogen bonds mediate the characteristic L-shaped molecular structure. tRNAs have two regions of fundamental functional importance: the anti-codon, which is responsible for specific mRNA codon recognition, and the 3' end, to which the tRNAs corresponding amino acid is attached (by aminoacyl-tRNA synthetases). tRNAs cope with the degeneracy of the genetic code in two manners: having more than one tRNA (with a specific anti-codon) for a particular amino acid; and 'wobble' base-pairing, i.e. permitting non-standard base-pairing at the 3rd anti-codon position. Lineage: Eukaryota; Metazoa; Chordata; Mammalia; Rodentia; Cricetidae. The record is from Rfam by way of RNAcentral.
UGGGUUGUGGCUUAAUGGUAGAGCUCUUACCUGGAAUGCAUGAGGCCCUGAGUUCCAUCCCAAGCAAUGCAA